RNAcentral lists this transfer RNA (70 nucleotides) under Dipodomys ordii (Ord's kangaroo rat). It matches the Rfam family "tRNA". From Rfam's summary of the family: Transfer RNA (tRNA) molecules are approximately 80 nucleotides in length. Lineage: Eukaryota; Metazoa; Chordata; Mammalia; Rodentia; Heteromyidae. The record is from Rfam by way of RNAcentral.
GGGAUUGUGGCUUAGUGGUAGAGUGCUUGUCUAGCAUGCAUGAAGGCCUGGGUUCGAUUUCUCAGUACCA